Molecule: long non-coding RNA, 2415 nt
Organism: Papaver somniferum (opium poppy)
Lineage: Eukaryota; Viridiplantae; Streptophyta; Magnoliopsida; Ranunculales; Papaveraceae
Exons: 5
Source: RefSeq, a predicted model, not a curated record
AAAAACUCCAAGAGAGCUGCAAAGAUCAAAGAUUUCAUAGAAAAUUCAUCUUUUGCAAAAACUUUUCUCCUCAUUCUAGCUCUCCUUGGUACUUGCAUGGUCAUUGGUGAUGGGAUCUUGACUCCUUGUAUUUCGGUUUUAUCAGCCGUGGAUGGAGUAAGGAAAAUUGAUGCAAGGCUAAGUAAAGAUGUGGUGGUGUGGAUAUCAGUAGCAAUUCUGAUAGUUCUUUUCUCCAUUCAACGAUUUGGAACCGAGAAAGUUGGAUAUGCAUUUGCACCAGCUAUCUUAAUUUGGUAUUUAUGUAUUGGGAUCAUUGGUUUGUUCAAUUUGAUCAAACAUGAUAUAAUGGUGCUUAAAGCUUUUAACCCUUUUCAUAUAAUUCAAUAAUUCAAUCAAGACCCAGAAGAGGCUUGGAUUUCUCUUGGAGGCAUUAUCCUUUGCAUGACUGGAACGGAAGCUAUGUUUGCCGAUUUAUGAUAUUUUUCUGUACGAUCGAUUCAGAGACUAUGUACUGGCCUAUGUUUAUAAUAGCUGUACUAGCAUCAAUCAUUGCUAGCCAAGCAAUGAUUUCUGCAAGACUAUCGAUAGCGAAACAGGCUAUGGCUAUGGGUUGCUUCCCUAGAGUUCGAGUAGUUCAUACUUCGGAAAUACAUGAAGGCCCAAUACACAUUCCUGAAAUCAAUUUUUUCCUGAUGUUCCUUGUGUGUUGGUUGUCAUUUGCUUCAAGGAAACUUCUAUGAUCGGGAACGCUUAUGGUAAGCCUAUUUAUAUCCUGGUGUUGUUUUUGCAUUAGACUUCACCACCUAGUGGAUAGGAUUGCCUUGAUAUUUGCGCACUACUAAGCUACACUUAAACAGUUAAACUACAUUUUAGGGGGUCUACAUACAGGGAUUGCGGUGGUUGUAGGGGAGUUGGUAACAAGCUCAUUGUUGGUAUUAAUAAUGCUGAUGAUAUGGAAAACAAAUUUUCUCCUUAUCGUGAUCUUUGUUCUUCUUUUUGGCUCAUUCGAACUUGUUUACUUCUCUUCUGUGUUCUACAAGUUCGAUAAAAGUGGAUACUUACCUCUAUCAUUUGCUGGAGUUUUGCUUUUUGUAAUGUAUGUCUGGCAUUACGUACAAACAAAACGCCAGAACUUCGAAAUCAAGAAACAACUAUCUACUCAGUGUCUAGCAAAUCUUGUAUCUGAUUCAAGCAUCACAAGAGUCCCCGGUGUGGGCUUACUUUUUACUGAGUCAACUCAUAAUGGAGUUCCCACAAUAUUUUCUCAUUUGCUCUCAAAUCUUCGAGCUAUACACUCCGUGCUUCUUUUUGUUUCGGUAAAACAUUUGCCCGUGAAGAGGGUACCAACUAAACGAAAUUUUUUUCUUUAGAAGAGUUGGAACCAAACAGGUAAAAAUGUACAAGUGUGCAGUCAGAUAUGGGUAUAGAGAUACCGGACUUGUAAAUGAAGAAUUUGAGGACUUGCUGAUGGAGUAUCUCAAAUUGUUCAUCCAAACUGAAAAUGGGAACCAUAUGUUUGGCGAGAAGUUAGAAGAUGUCAGCAAAUCACAAAGAGAAGAAGAAGAAAAGGAAAUUGAAUUCCUGGAAGAAUCAAGAAAACGUGGGGUAACUCACAUGUUGGGUCACAGCAAAGCAAAAGCUAGUGAAGGAUCUUGCACGCUGAAGAGAGUUAUCAUAAAUAAUGUUUAUGAUUUCUUAGAAACGAAUUUCCGGCAAGGAUUUGUAGGUCUACAAAUCCCAAACAAGAAGUUGUUACAUGUCGGAAUGAUUUACGAUAUAUGAUGAUUAAAUAGGUUGGUAUGAGCUAUUGCUGUCUUCUUAGGGUCUUAAAUGGGUUGUAGAUUGGAAGAAUUGUCAAACAAGUCAUUGAGUCUUGGCAGAAGGUGAAAGGGACUUUUGAAGCUUUCAGAUCGGAUAGCUGUGUGAUUUGGGCUAGCUGCAAGUGUAGAAACAAAAAGGUGUUCAACAACAAAAACCAAAACCAAAACACUGCGAGCAUCAUAAGGGGAGUUCAUUCCUGGUUUGAGUACAGCACUCCUCAAUAUCUGCACGGGAAUAAUCAAGAUAAAGCUCCUGUCAGAAUGAAGAAUGCAUGUUCUAAAUAGAUGCCACCUGCGAUCAACUGGACUAAAAUUAAUGGGGACGCGGCGUUCCAUAACUUUGAAGCUGUCUGGGCAGUGGUUGCUAGGGACUCAAAUUGCAAAUUUAAGGAAUGACUCAUUUCUCAACCCACUGGAAGCUGAAUUGUAUUUUGCGGUGAACAAUGCCAUUUUGGAUCAUCCGACGAUGUAAUUUUAUCUUUACAAGUAAUUAGGAAAUAAAAUAAACCCCGAUAGAGCAUCAUAUCAUUUGUACAGCCUACGCUGCACUAUAAGACACUCCAAUGCCCGUGAUGUGGCGGGUUUAUCAUAGGAA